GGGGAAUUUUCCGCAAUGGGCGAAAGCCUGACGGAGCAAGACCGCGUGGGGGAGGAAGGUCUAUUGAUUGUAAACCCCUUUUCUAAGGAAAGAAAAAAAUGACGGUACCUUAGGAAUAAGCAUCGGCUAACUCUGUGCCAGCAGCCGCGGUAAUACAGAGGAUGCAAGCGUUAUCCGGAAUUAUUGGGCGUAAAGAGUCCGUAGGGGGCAUUCCAAGUCUGUCGUUAAAGACCGCAGCUUAACUGCGGGAAGGCGAUGGAAACUGGGAAGCUAGAGAGCAGUAGGGGCAGAGGGAAUUUCCAGUGUAGCGGUGAAAUGCGUAGAG
Molecule: ribosomal RNA, 325 nt
Filed under: uncultured cyanobacterium
Lineage: Bacteria; Bacillati; Cyanobacteriota
Description: bacterial SSU rRNA
Rfam family: Bacterial small subunit ribosomal RNA
Source: RNAcentral